CCAACGGCCCUCUUAAGGGCCACAAGCUUCAUGAGUCAUGCUGCCU
Non-coding RNA from Loa loa (African eye worm), 46 nucleotides. Lineage: Eukaryota; Metazoa; Nematoda; Chromadorea; Rhabditida; Onchocercidae. The record is from Rfam.